UUGGCGGCGUGGGUGUU
This 17-nucleotide microRNA is filed under the name Corchorus olitorius. RNAcentral's name for it is "hsa-miR-44". Lineage: Eukaryota; Viridiplantae; Streptophyta; Magnoliopsida; Malvales; Malvaceae. The record is from RNAcentral.